ACCAGGAGUGCCCUUGGCCCGGCACCAGGGACACGAGUGGCACGCUCAGUUAGGAAAUUUGUGAAGGAUUUCCAGCUCAUUCCAUCUGUACCAGUUGAAAGAUACCAGACCAACAUGAAAAGGCAGACUGGGAAGGCCAUUUUCCAUGGAAAAAGGUCAGAUUUGGUGCAUUGUACUUAAUGACAUACAUUUUAUGUAUCUGACAGACA
Molecule: long non-coding RNA, 209 nt
Filed under: Fukomys damarensis (Damara mole-rat)
Lineage: Eukaryota; Metazoa; Chordata; Mammalia; Rodentia; Bathyergidae
Description: lncRNA (ENSFDAG00000030331.1)
Source: RNAcentral